CAGACGGCCCCGUGAAACGGGCCGCCCCCGCCAGAGGACCCCCUAACUCUGUUGCUAUAUGUAUCUUCUGAGUAAACAAGCAAAUAAAUUAAAACUUUCAACAACGGAUCUCUUGGCUCUGGCAUCGAUGAAGAACGCAGCGAAAUGCGAUAAGUAAUGUGAAUUGCAGAAUUCAGUGAAUCAUCGAAUCUUUGAACGCACAUUGCGCCCGCCAGUAUUCUGGCGGGCAUGCCUGUUCGAGCGUCAUUACAACCCUCAGGCCCCCGGGCCUGGCGUUGGGGAUCGGCGAGGCGCCCCCCGCGGGCACGCGCCGUCCCCCAAAUACAGUGGCGGUCCCGCCGCAGCUUCCAUUGCGUAGUAGCUAACACCUCGCAACUGGAGAGCGGCGCGGCCAUGCCGUAAAACACCCAACUUCUGAAUGUUGACCUCGAAUCAGGUAGGAAUACCCGCUGAACUUAAGCAU
RNAcentral lists this ribosomal RNA (463 nucleotides) under Fusarium solani. Its description in RNAcentral is "eukaryotic LSU rRNA". The stretch from base 93 to 246 matches the Rfam family "5.8S ribosomal RNA". The record is from RNAcentral. Lineage: Eukaryota; Fungi; Ascomycota; Sordariomycetes; Hypocreales; Nectriaceae.